Molecule: non-coding RNA, 187 nt
Filed under: Betaproteobacteria bacterium
Lineage: Bacteria; Pseudomonadati; Pseudomonadota; Betaproteobacteria
Description: 6S RNA
Rfam family: 6S / SsrS RNA
About the family: E. coli 6S RNA was the first non coding RNA to be sequenced, but its function was unknown until recently. It consists of 184 nucleotides that fold into an extended hairpin structure with a large single-stranded internal bulge.
Source: RNAcentral
CGCCCCCUGCCGUGCGCGACACGGGCCUUAUAUUUCCGAACCGAUAGCUUCCUGAGGUUGCGGAUCCACGUGUCACUGUUGUGAUCGUCCCACGCCUGGCGUGCCGGACGAACCUGAUGUGACCGGUACGCAACCACCCUGUUUGGCGGGGUUCGGGAGCGGGUCCACCGGCAUGCGCGGGGGGCAC